CUAGGUAUUAAAAACAUUUAAUAAUUUUUACCCUCCCCCCCACCUCCAAAAUAAAUCCCUCCUUGAGCUCUUGCCAACAGGAGUGAUUGUUUCUGAAACGAAGUUCUCAACUCACUCGAUUGUGGAGGCGGCUGCUGUCAUUUAUUCCUUUUAUUAAAGAAAAUUGUCUGCACUGGGUCUUCACUGUGGCACGCAGGCUUGGGCGUCGGAGCACACAGGUUUAGCUGUGGCAUGUGGGGUCUUGGUUCCCUGGCCAGGGAUCGAACCUAGGUCCCUUUCAUUGGAAGGCGGAUUCUGAACCCCCAGAGCCCAGGGAAGUCUCCAUUUAUUCUUUUAAGCAGCUCUCUUCUCUCCCCUGUAAAUGCUCUGGGUUAACAAUCCUGCUGCUGGUCCCCUUGCUCCCAGAUCACUUCCUUCUUGAUCGAGGCUCACAGAGUGGCCCCACGAGAUGGUCUCAAUAUCCAAAGGCGACAAGGCCACAUCUGGACCUAAAACUGUUCUGUGGCCCCACGUUUAAGUCACAAUCCCUUAGCCUGGCCUCGCUGAGCCAGGGCACAGGUCCCUGGAACCCUCCUUCCCUCCCUUCUCUGUCCUCAGCUCUCACGUUUCCCCAGCUCUCCUCCUCUGGAAUAGAAGCUCUCCGGGCUGACCUGAGUGUGAGCCCUUGGAGGGCAGGGACCUGUUGCCUGGCUCAGGGCUCCUUCCCAGAUCAGGGCCUUGGCCAAGUUGGCUGAGCAAGGAGGCCCCAGCCCAAGGGGCCAGGAGAGGGGUUGGGCCUGGUUUCUUCCAUAAGCUUUUCCUCUGUGGUGAUAACUCUGAGAACAGUGGGUUCUUCCCAGAGGGGUCUGGGCCAGGUGGGCAGCACCUCGUGGUCCCCUCAUGGUCUGGAUCACUGAGGCCGGGGGCCCUGGGGACAGACUCCUCAUCACCUGGUCCACCAGGAGCCCUCUGACUCCCUCCCUCCCAGAUGCCCUCUUUCAGCCUCCCCUGACUUCCAGCCCUCAUCCCAGACCUCGGCUCCCCAAGCUCAGCACUUUACAUACGACGGCUAAGAUUCUGGGGGCCUCCAGGACCAUGCUGUCUAGAGCAACCAUUCUUCCUCCCUAGCCUGUUCUUUUUUGUUGUUGUUAUUGUUUUUUCCUAGCCUGUUCUUUGGGCAAAAGACAAAAUGAUCAAGCUGGUUUCCUGACCCAGAAGUGUGAGGAGAGAACAGAAAGUAUGGGCUGGAGACCACAGACACAGAAUAAAUUUCAGCCUCACCAUCUGCCA
RNAcentral lists this long non-coding RNA (1269 nucleotides) under Bos indicus x Bos taurus (hybrid cattle). RNAcentral's name for it is "lncRNA (ENSBIXG00000007256.1)". The record is from RNAcentral. Lineage: Eukaryota; Metazoa; Chordata; Mammalia; Artiodactyla; Bovidae.